CCCUUAGAUGUUCUGGGCCGCACGCGCGCUACACUGACGAUGUCAGAGAGUGUCUCCUUCACCGAGAGGUGUGGGUAAUCUUUUAAACAUCGUCGUGCUGGGGAUAGAUCAUUGCAAUUUUUGAUCUUAAACGAGGAAUUCCUAGUAAGCGCGAGUCAUCAGCUCGCGCUGAUUACGUCCCUGCCCUUUGUACACACCGCCCGUCGCUACUACCGAUUGAAUGGUUUAGUGAGGCCUUCUGACUGGCGCCGCUACUCUGACAACAGAGCGGCGGAUGCCGGGAAGUUGGUCAAACUUGAUCAUUUAGAGGAAGUAAAAGUCGUAACA
This 327-nucleotide ribosomal RNA is filed under the name uncultured eukaryote. RNAcentral describes it as "partial 18S ribosomal RNA". It matches the Rfam family "Eukaryotic small subunit ribosomal RNA", at positions 1470 to 1796 of the family's 1831-position model. The record is from RNAcentral.